CCGUGCUGAAGAUGAAGAGCAUUCCAGUGACUUUGAGCCGGAAGAAAAUGGUGAUGGUGCUGAGGAUGAGGAGAUUGAGGAUGAUGAUGCUGAGGAUGGUGAGGAUUCUGUCAAGCCGCAAUCCUCAUCGAAGAGGAAGAGGUCUGGUGGGGAGGAUGAAGAUGAUGAUGACGGUGAUGAUGAUGGUGAUGAUGAUGAGAAGCCUCCAUCAAAGCGAUAGUCAAUUUGUUCUUGCUGAUCUGGUAUCUUUUCUGCUUGGGCCAAGAAGGAAAAUAAUCCUCUGGGAGAGGAUUGUUGGUAAAUGCUGUAGCUUUAGGACAUCUGUGGUAGGUGUAGCAGCUCGAACUUGAGUCUACCCAUGUUAGUUGUUAGUGCAUACUGCUGAUGUUGAUUAACAGCCUCCUUGAACUUCUGUAUGAGCAUUAGAUAUGGGGCUUGUUAUAUGCUUGUGUAGCUUCUGAUUAAAACCUGUGGAAUGUGGAUGCUCUGUUCUGAAUCUUGUUUUCAUGAUAUUUCUCUUGAACUAGCUUGCUGUUAUUUUACUGUUAUCACUGCUUGACCUACAGUUCUCUUGGUACUAUUUUUUGUUUGAGCGCUUAGAAGACAUUUGCUGUUAGAGCAUCCACAGUAUGGUCUUUGGAUUCCCUCAACAAGCCAAGAUACCAUUGGUGCCAAGCCUUGUAACAUUAAAUUAAU
RNAcentral lists this long non-coding RNA (696 nucleotides) under Triticum aestivum (bread wheat). Its description in RNAcentral is "long non-coding RNA (TAES_LNC000504)". The record is from RNAcentral. Lineage: Eukaryota; Viridiplantae; Streptophyta; Magnoliopsida; Poales; Poaceae.